RNAcentral lists this long non-coding RNA (5013 nucleotides) under Coffea arabica (coffee). RNAcentral's name for it is "long non-coding RNA (CARA_LNC005992)". The record is from RNAcentral. Lineage: Eukaryota; Viridiplantae; Streptophyta; Magnoliopsida; Gentianales; Rubiaceae.
CAAGAAACCUCUCUUACCCCAUGUAUAAGGCUACAUGUCGCCUCUUGUAUGUCCUUGUGUGUCUCUUAUGUAGUAUGCCAACUCACCUAUUUAUAGAGAACAUUAUUUGGUCAAAACCCAAAUAACAAUAGGAUUCUAAUUCUAAUUCCUAAACUCGUAUAAAAUAGGAAAUAACUUUUAAUUCUAAACAGAAUAAAAAAUUCCUUGGCGGCUUCUUCAAGUAGUUAAAAUCAAUUAAGAAAUUAGUUAAUUCCACACAAAAUAAGAAUUCUACCUAAAAGAAAUUAAGCCAAUUUCCUAACAAAUUUGCACCUACCGAAAAUUUCUUUUACAACCAUUUGCUUUCAAUCACCAAAUAAUAUAUCGAACUACACACCCAAAUCAAUACAGCCCUGACAUCAAAUUGAUUCAAUCGGCAAAUAAACACGUGUAGUUACUCCGAGUCUAACCUCCAGUUGACUCGUGAGAUGGUGUCUCAAUUCACCAUCUCCCUUUGCAGGAUUUUUUCUCACCACCACUCACAACCAGAGAUCUCCUUUUGUGAGUUCUAACCCUAAACAUUGAAACAAUCAAGUGAUAAAAUCAUCAUAUUUCUUCCCAUCCUCAGGACUGUCUUACUACGUGUGAUUUUCAAGAUUCCACCUCAAUUGAAAAACUCGUAACUGUCAGAGUCUUCUGACACAUAAAAAUUAAAUCUCUUUAUUUCUUUGGGAUACGUGCCACACCAUCUAAAAAAUAUAACCGAAAUCUAAAAGUCACCGGGAUGAAGUAUCAACUGUUGGAGAUGUGAGAAAAUCUCCAACGAUUCACGUCCAAAAUCAACAUUAGACUCCAUUUUUUUUACCCUUGAAUCACCUAUUUAGAUUCACCGUCAAGUAUCUUCAUGCUUUUCGGCUUCCCAACCUUUACUAUCAAUGCUUUUUGUCAAACCAUUGAAACAAGGAUACCACUCAUUAAAUUGUUCAAUUAGUAACAGUUACCAAUCUAUUUGAUCUCAAUAGUUAACCAGGAUCCAAUCUUGAACAAUCAAACUCUUGAUCCAACUAUUCAAUUUGUUGGGAUCCAAGUACUUGUGAACAAUCCAAUCUCGCAACCAAAUUCCGAUACCACUUAUUAGAAUCUAAGCACGGAAUACAUAACUAUUGAAAUAUCAAUACACAACAAUUUAAUGAUAAACAAAUCACAAGCAUGAAAAAUAGACGAUACACAACAUUUUACGUAGUUCGGCUCCACCAUUGAACCUACGUCCACGGAGAGAAAUUCGUUCUUUAUUAUGAGAGCAAAAUCCUAUACAAAAAUAUAACUUGAAUCCAAAUCCAACCCUUGUAUAUCAUCUUUUAUCUCCCAAGAAACUUCUCUCAUCCCAUGUAUAAGGUUACAUAUCGCCUUUUAUGUGUUCUUGUGUAUUUCUUAUGUAGUAUGUCAACCCACCUAUUUAUAAAGAACAUUAUUUGGCCAAAAUCCAAAUAACAAUAGGAAUUCAAUUCUAAUUCCUAGACUUGUAUAGAAUAGGAAAUAAUUUCUAAUUCUAAACAGAAUAGAAAAUUCUUUGGCUACUACUUCAAGUAACUAAAAUCAAUUAGGAAACUAAUUACUUCCACACAAAACAAGAAUUCUACUUAAAAGAAAUUAAUCCAAUUUCCUAACAUCUCUUAAUGGAAGAUUGGAAGAAGGGAGAGAAAUUAUGCUCUGUUUUGGAGAACUUUUGGGCAAUCACACAAAUAAUAUCAAGAAGUGACGAUCUAAUGCAAUCUGAAGAUUCAAUUGAUGUGGCGUCUUGUGAAGAUCAAGCUCAAGUUGGUUCGCACCAUUCUUAUGUACUGAGUUAUCCAGUUAGGUAUUUUAAUCUAAUUUGUUGCAUUAUUUAGAGUGCAUUUAGUGAUAAUUUAAUCAUUAUAAUUAGUGAAAUAAUCGACUAAGUAAGGACAAGAAAGAGGCAAAUUAGAGUUCCAUUUAGUCAGGAAAGUUUGUCUUGUUUAGUCUUUCCAAGUCCAAUUAGGUUUCAAAAUUUAUAAGGCUAUAAGUAUAGCCUCUUUGCUGUAUUUUUAUCAAUAGAAGAAAGACACAAAUUUUGAGAGUUUUCUCUUAACUUCUUAGAAGUGUUCCUCUGAACAUCUUAGAAGAGUUAUAAGUAUUCAUUUUGACUUAUCAAUCAAGAAAUUCACUUGAUUGUGGCCUCGUUCUACCAACAACCUUGGUUCGCAAAUCUAUUAAGUUGUGGGUUGCAAUUAAAUUUAAAAUUUAUAACUUUGAGGUUUAAAGAGGUCAUAAGUUUUUCGCUGUCAAACCAUAGGUAUUGUUCGUCUAGGUUCGGAUUAGGGCUGCAAACGAGUUGAGUCGAGUCAAGUUUUGAACUUAUCGAGUUGAACUCGACUUAAAAAUAGGUGGGCUCGAGCUCGAGCUCGAGCUCAACAAGCCUAAAGAAUUGAGCUCGAACUCAACUCGAUUAAAAAAUACUAAGCUCGAGCUCGACUCGAUGCUCGUGAGCUAAAACUCGAUUCUGGCUCUCGAGCAGCUCGAAUCGUGAGCUCGAAUUUUUGGAAUUAGAUCUAAGGCUUCUACUCCGUCUCCUAGCUUAAGUUUUAAACAGAGUCACUAAUAACAAAUUGUACAUCAUCAAGAUCAUACAAGAACAAAAAAGAAAACACAGGAAUUGAAGGAAUGGAGAAAUGAAGGAACAAAAUCCCAUUAGGCAUAUACAUUAACACGUUUCAGAUCCUUGACACUUCCUCAGGAGCUGCAUCAAUACAAAUGAAAGACAAUUUGAUAUCAAAAUAAACUGACUCUGAAAUUCCGUUCCCAUCCCUCAAUUUGAAGCACAUUUCUAAUCCAAGAUGAAACUCACAUCAGAUUACAGUCACAUUGCCACCUUAUCCAACGCAAUCAUACAAAAGAGUGCAGAAAUCACCAAUCAUUCGAGUCUCAACUAAGUCACAAGACAACUAAAACCCCACCAUUCCAAGGAGCUCAGUAUAGUAGAAUUGACAAUUCAACCAUUUAAACAAAACCCAGAAACGAAAGCCAGUUACUUUAAUCAUCAAUACCCCAAUGUACAUUUUCUCUUUUACACGUUGUCUAAAAGAAAGAAAAGGAUAAGAAAGAAGUGAAACCUCACCUGAAUAAAUGCAAUUACAGCAAGAAGUCCAUCAACAGAAAGCAAUCCCACUUAAACUUCGACCAAAGCAUGAUCAUAAUAAAAAAAGGCCUAAAAAUUUUUCAGUAAAUACAAUCAUAAAUUUAGAAAUACAUGCCACAUAAAAGUCUAGAAUUUAAAUGCCCAGCACUUCAUACAAGUUCAACAUUCUCGGACUGAUAUCCAUAAAACUAAUUAAGUAAUGACGGUUGACUGAGAAAUAUAUGGAAUUCUACUGCACUUCUUGUACUCCAAAUGAUUAAUGAUUAGACUCUAUGAUGACCACAGUUUUAUAGCCUUUUGAUAUCCAAACAACUGGACUAAUGCCACCAGUAUGACAGCUAAUAGAGAGUUUCAAACUAUGACAGCUUCAAGGCUAGCAAUUACUAGUUAAAAGUUUUAGAAUCUAAACUACAUUUAAAAGAAGCUUUCUUUAAUGCAACACAUAAAAUCAAAACAAAUGGAGCUGAUAACAAUCAACAAGGUGGACUCAAAUAAAAUUACAAGAAGAAGAGCACCAAAAAAGCAGAAUAUAAAAGCUUGAAUUGUCUAGUAAUUUCUGUUCGUAACCUCAUAACCAGAGGAAAGGACAAACAAUGAAAAGAAAAUUCUUGAUUAGGCAAAAUUCCAAUACCACCCCAAAUCCAACCAAGUAAGGAGGUCCCAAGUUCUAUCAAAUUCUAGACAUUCCAAAUUAUUGAUUAGUUGGACACCACUGACCUCAAUGACAUGUUAUUUUACAUCAACCCACCAAUCAUGUCUUUUUGUUUCCAUAACUGGACCAAGAGAUAUAUGGAAAUUAUUUCCUAUUCAACUAGUAUUUCAUCAUUUUAAGAGAUGCAAUUUAAUAUGACACUCUGGAAAAAAGUGGUUGUCGAUUGAUUGAUUUUCAGGAGAUUUAUUAGCUACCCCCAAAAAUAUAAGAUCCCUGCUAUUAUUACGUAAUUCAAGUCGAAUAAAUUAUUACCAUCCCCUAAUUAAAUAACAAAGGCAAUCUUUAAAAGAGAUGUAUCAGUAGAUAUGAUUCUCUUCCGGUUCUAUUUUAAUGCAAACUCAUUCCAACCAGCACACAAAAAAGGUACUUUUUUAAGUCUAGAUGACAAAUGCAAACCUCAUAUUUUUUUUAUUUCCAACAUAACUAAGCUGGCACAACUUUUACCUAAAAGAACAUGAUAUUCAAAGUCAAGAAACCGCAGAUGGUGCAGAGAUACCAAUAAAGCAGGCCAUUUUUCUACUCUGCCACUUUAACCAUCAGCAUGCAUCAAGUUAUCGGUUUUAUUGUGUUCAUAUAUAUAUAUAUAUAUAUAUAUAUAUAUAUAUAUAUAUAUAUAUGAUUUGGGCAAAAUCAAGAUUGAUUUCGUACUUGCUAACUAGAGGGAAGCAGCAAACUUCAGAUGAGAGAAAAUAAUCUACUUACAAAUUCUUUAAUUGAACAAGUGAAGCUGCGACCCAAAUGAAAUCCCGGAUCCAACGUACGAAUUAGGAGAACGCCAAACCAACCUUAAAUUGGAAAUCAAAUUGAGGGCUUUUUUCUUAGAAUCUAGAUCCGAGGUGGGAAAUGAAGGACGAGUGGCACGAAAGGAAGAAGGACUGUUAGCAAUCGUUAAGAAUACAGCUGGGCCGAGGAGAGCUGCCAUGUGUUAUUUUGAUGGCGAUGGGUCCGAAUACAGCUGGGCUGAGGAGAAGAAGUCGAAUUGCAGACGAUUAACUUUACAAUGUGGCGGUGGUGGCGGUGGCUGAAGGGUAGCGGUGGUGGCUGUGGUGCACUCGUGGCGGCGAUGGCUAGGGUUUGUUUGAGAAAUUGUGAAGGAAAGACAAAAGAGAGAUGCGGGACAGCGGGAGAAGCAAUUAGAAAUGCAAUUCAAUUUGGGGAAACAACU